AAUCAACUUUGUCAAGAUUUGAGAAUUGAUUUGCUAACAUUUCAACUAUCCUUUCUGCUUCAGGACUAAUAACAAAAGAAGGUACAUCUGAUGCAUCGAUCGAAUUUGGAAAUCCAGGAAUUAAUAUUUCUUCGUCAUUUUGAGUAGGUGGAAGUUUUAUCACCCCUUUAUGUACAUGGUAAUAAAGAUUAUCCACUACACAAUUUUGUGUGAAAAAUGCAGCACUAAUUAAUCCAAAUUGUUUUGCAACUUCAACAGCCCAAGGAAUGAAUGGAUCAUAUACUAUGCAAUUUACAGGACAAUCACUAUUUUCCAAUUUUUUAAUAAGCUGAGACAGAGUAUCCGAACCAACUUCUUUGAAUCGUGUUAUGUAGGCUACGAAAUUUUCUGCUUGAUGGAAACCACCAUCAUCGUAGCCAUCAGAAAUCGCCUCGAUUGAUACUGAAGUUGACAAUUCUUGCAUUGUUUUCAAACAGGAUUUUGUGAGUGCUAUAGUGAUUUUAACGCGUUUGGAUUGUAAACGUUUGGAGAAUUGAAGCAUUGGGUUGAUAUGACCUUGGCCUGGAAAUGGCAAAAUUAAGCAAUGAGCUUUGUGAGUAUUCAUUUUUUAUUUUUUAUUUUUUGCAACUUCUCAAUGAAUUGAGUUAAUAAUAAUAGAUAGGAUGAGAAAAAUUAUGUGGUUGUUAUAGUUAGGUGAUAGAGUUUGAAGUGUCUUUUUGGCUUAUUUUGUCUAUUAUUGAUACAAAGUUUUUAUUGCAAACAUGUGUAAUAAAUAUGCCAAUAUAUAUUGUUUGAUAUAUUACUUGGAAUCUAGGGAUAUCACUUUUAUUUUGAGGGAUAAAGAAUAACUAAUCUCAAGAUUAAUUUUGAUGAUUAUGUUUGGCUAAUUUUGAAAUAAUUAAUUUCGAGAUAACUCGAUUCCUAACCAACAUGUACAGUGACACAAGUGUUAAGAAGUCCCAUAUCGGUAAAGGAAUGAAAAUUUGAUCUCCUUAUAUGGACUUAGACAAACAUCUCCUUAUAAACUAAUUUUUGAGGUUGAGUUAGACACAGAUAACAAAACUUAAUAAUAAACGAUAUCAUUUAAAAUGUUGUCUAAAAAAAGUGACACAAUUUAUUACUUUACUUGGAAGAUGCCUUUUUGUAGACAUUUACUUUUAAUUACUGAAUUUAAAUAAUAAAAUAUUUUGAUUGUAUCUUAAAUUCAAAUAAUCAUAUAAUUUGCAAUAAAAAUUACGGACCGAUAUAACUGAAUUUAUGUAAAAGGGUUAAAAAUAUUCUUAAAUUAUGUAAAAUUAAAUAAAAAUAUUCUUAACUAAUAACUUGGUUUAAAAUGCUAUUGUCGUCAAUAGUUUAAUUCAAAAAUAUUCUUAUUGUUACUUAAUUAACGAAUUACUUAUCCACCGUCUAGCUCCCCUCUCUCGCUUCCUGUUCCCCAAAAUAUCAAAUAAUAUUAAGAUCAUAAUUACUCACUCUUUAAUAUAAAUGCAUAAUAAUUAUAAUUAACGUGAAAUUUGUGUUGUGUGUCAUUUAAAAAAAUAUAAAAGAAAGGAUACUAGGAAGAUUCAGGUCAAACUUUGGUAAUUCAAUAAGAAAAAGAAAUUACAAAAUACAAAUCCAUUUCUUGAUUAUUUUUAUGGCUCUUAAUUAACUUUUUUAUUACUUAGAGAUAUAUUAACCAACUUAUAGCUUGUUACAUAAAUAGUCUUAGCAAAUGUCAUCAAUCCAUACCAUCAAUAGACACUAUUACAAAUUAUAGCUUGUUACAUAAAUAGACAUAUUAUAGCUUGUUACAUAAACAGUCAAUUUAUAGCUUAUUACAUAAAUAGUCUUAACAAAUGUCAUCAAUCCAUACCAUCAAUAGACACUAUUACGAAUUAUAGCUUGUUACAUAAAUAGCCGAAUAAUAGCUUUAUAGCUUGUUACACUUGUUACAUAAAUAGCCAAAAUAUUUGCUUGUUACAUAAAUAGCCAAUUUUUAGCUUGUUACAUAAAUAGACAAAUUAUAGCUUGUUACAUAAAUAGUCUUAGCAAAUAUCAUCAAUCCAUACCAUCAAUAGACACUAUUACAAAUUAUAGCUUGUUACAUAAAUAGCCAAAUUAGAGCUUGUUACAUAAAUAGCCAAUUUAGAGCUUGUUACAUAAAUAGCCAAAUUUUUAGCUUCUUAUAUAAAUAGCCAAAUUAUAGCUUGUAACAUAAAUAGCCAAAUUAUAGCUUGUUACAUAAAUAGUCUUAGCAAAUGUCAUCAAUCCAUACCAUCAAUAGACACCAUUACAAAUUAUAGCUUGUUACAUAAAUAGCCAAAUUAGAGCUUGUUACAUAAAUAGCCAAUAUAUAGCUUAUUAUAUAAAUAGCCAAUUUUUAGCUUGUUACAUAAAUAGCCAAAUUGUUUUAGCCUUCCACAAUAAUAGGUAAAAGGUAGAAAAUAAAGGAAGAUUCAAGUCAAUAUCCUACUUAGAAGAAAUAGUCAUCAACUUGGAAACAAAUUCUUCAAUGUUUUUAUCUGAACUUCCUCCUUCAUUCACAACAUUUCUAGCUAUUUCCUUCCAUUUCUUUGCAUUUUCUCUAAUUAGUUUUCCUUUAUCUUCUUCCAUCACUAGCUUUAUACAUUCCUCUAUAACUUCUCUUCUAACUACCCCUUUUUCAUCUUGUUUGGCUCUAACACCUAUUUCCCAAACAUCUUUCACAAGCUUUGCAUUUGUUGGUUGAUCUGUCCAUUGUGGCAUUGUCACUAUUGGCACUCCCAAACUAAUUUCUUCCAGUGUCGAAUUCCAUCCACAGUGCGUUAGAAAACAUCCUAUCGACUCAUGUUCCAACACUUGUAAUUGUGGACACCAUGACACCACUAGUCCUUUUUCAAUUGUUAAUUCCUCUAAAAAGUUGUUGGGAAGUUUAGAUUCUUCAUUAGACCUAACAACCCACAAGAAGCUCUUGUUGCUAUUCUUCAAACCCCAUGCCAAUUCUUCCAUUUGCUCACUUCCUAGUUUGGCUAAACUUCCAAAUGAUACAUACAACACUGAGCUAAUUGGUUGAUGGUUUAACCAAUUUAGGCAUUCAUUUGUCAUUGGCUUGAACAUACUAAGCCCAUACUCUUUAUCAUCAUGUAGUCUCUUGUCUAAGUACAUUGAUGGUAUUGUUGGUCCAAUUGUCUUUAUUGGAUAUAUCUUCGACAUCCAAUCAAUUACCUACGUGACAAACAAUUAGCAGAUGCAUACAUAUCUUAUUUUAAUUGAGUUUAAGAGUUCACUUGAUUGAAAAAGAGCAAAAAGAUUCAAAAUACAAACUCAUACAAGUAUAAGAAUUUUCAUCAGACUAUUUCGUUAUAUUUUUAUCAGGUAAUACUUAUCUUUUAAAAUGAAAAAUAGUGACUUACAAACAUAGAAAAAGAACAAAAAGAUGAAGAGUAUUUGUGUUACCUCUUUCUCCAAUUCAUAAAAGCUAUUGAUUAAUACCCAAUCAGUUUUCUCAAGAUUUGAGAAUUAAUUCACCAAUAGUUCAAUUAAUUUAUCUGUUUCAGGACUUGACUCAAAACUAGGUACAUAUGAACUUUCGAUUGUACAUGAUAAUCCAGGAAUUAAUAUUUUUUCAUCACUUUUAGUAGGUGGAAGUUUUAUUACCCCUUUAUGUGCAUGGUAAUAAAUAUUAUCCACUACACAAUUUUGUGUGAAAAAUGCAGCACUAAUUAAUCCAAAUUGUUUUGCAACUUCAACAGCCCAAGGAAGGAAUGGAUCAUAUACUAUGCAAUUUACAUGACAUCCACUUUUUGCCAAUUU
This 3774-nucleotide long non-coding RNA is filed under the name Solanum lycopersicum (tomato). RNAcentral describes it as "long non-coding RNA (SLYC_LNC000490)". Lineage: Eukaryota; Viridiplantae; Streptophyta; Magnoliopsida; Solanales; Solanaceae. The record is from RNAcentral.